RNAcentral lists this unclassified non-coding RNA (229 nucleotides) under Hevea brasiliensis (rubber tree). Lineage: Eukaryota; Viridiplantae; Streptophyta; Magnoliopsida; Malpighiales; Euphorbiaceae. The record is from RNAcentral.
AAGAAUUUGUAUCAGAAGAGCAGUUAACUGCUAAUGAUCUUGUUAAUGAUACGGAAUCCCAGGAAGACAGGGCACACAAAUCAUUACAAACAGGAAAUUUGGACCGAGGUGACGACUUAUCUGAGACUUCCAGAGUGGAAUCUAUUUCUGGAACAGACAUCUCUCCUGAUGACAUUGUAGGAAUAAUUGGCUUAAAGCGUUUCUGGAAAGCCAGAAGAGCAAUUGUCAA